GGAGAGGUGAGGGAAGGAGAGGAGAGGAGGGGGGAGGAGAGGAGAGGAGAGGAGAGGAGAGUGGUAGAACCACCAACUGUUAUUGAACCAGCACCAUAUAAACUUUUUGCUGCAGAACCUGUAAUAUGAAGACCAUGAGACUAGCUGAGGAAACACACACACACACACACACACACACACACACACACUGCUCUGUCAGCGGAUUUCUUCAAUCUCUUCCCAUUUGUAGCCCUGAUGGAAUUUGGGAUGGGUACCAGCAGCAAACGAAGCUAUUGGCUCAGUAGAAACUGGAAACGUCUGUGAGACUGUCAAUAUAUUGAAUCCUGGGGUAGUUGAGGACUGAAGCAUCACCUAUGGCUGGCCUGUGUUAUGGGACAACAACAUAUUGAAUCCUGGGGUAGUUGAGGACUGAAGCAUCACCUAUGGCUAGCCUGUGUUAUGGGACAACAACAUAUUGAAUCCUGGGGUAGUUGAGGACUGAAGCAUCACCUAUGGCUGGCCUGUGUUCUGGGACAACAACAUAUUGAAUCCUGGGGUAGUUGAGG
This is a long non-coding RNA of Oncorhynchus tshawytscha (Chinook salmon), 545 nucleotides long. Lineage: Eukaryota; Metazoa; Chordata; Actinopteri; Salmoniformes; Salmonidae. The record is from Ensembl.